RNAcentral lists this unclassified non-coding RNA (397 nucleotides) under uncultured Ascomycota. RNAcentral describes it as "sequence contains ITS2". The stretch from base 1 to 155 matches the Rfam family "5.8S ribosomal RNA". Lineage: Eukaryota; Fungi; Ascomycota. The record is from RNAcentral.
AACUUUUAGUAAUGGAUCUCUUGGUUCUGGCAACGAUGAAGAACGCAGCGAAAUGCGAUAAGUAAUGUGAAUUGCAGAAUUUAGUGAAUCAUCGAAUCUUUGAACGCACAUUGCGCCCAUUAGCUAUUCUAGUGGGCAUGCCUGUUCGAGCGUCAUUACAACCCUCAAGCGCUUUUAUGUGCUUGGUGUUGGGGCUUCCGCCGGCUCAGCCGACGGGCCUCGAAAGUCAGUGGCGGGCCCGCCGCGACCCUGAGCGCAGUAGCAUACACAAUCGCUUCUGCGGCUCGCGGUGGGUUCCCAGCCGUGAAACACCCCUCCCCUAUUUCUCACAAUAAGGUUUGACCUCGAAUCAGGUAGGAAUACCCGCUGAACUUAAGCAUAUCAAUAAGCGGAGGCU